GACGAACGCUGGCGGCGUGCCUAACACAUGCAAGUCGAGCGGAGUCGAUCGACGGAAGCCUUCGGGCGGAAGAUGGUUGACUUAGCGGCGGAUGGGUGAGUAACGCGUGGGCAACCUGCCUCGAAGACCGGGAUAACAGCCCGAAAGGGCUGCUAAUACCGGAUGUGGUCAAGGAUCCGCAUGGAUUUUUGAUUAAAGGGGAAACCCGUUUCGAGAUGGGCCCGCGUCCUAUCAGCUAGUUGGUGAGGUAAAAGCUCACCAAGGCGACGACGGGUAGCCGGCCUGAGAGGGUGACCGGCCACACUGGAACUGAGACACGGUCCAGACUCCUACGGGGGGCAGCAGUGGGGAAUCUUCCACAAUGGGCGAAAGCCUGAUGGAGCGACGCCGCGUGAGCGAAGAAGGCCUCGGUUGUAAGACUCUGUCUGGAGGGACGAAGGAAGUGACGGUACCUCCGGAGGAAGCCACGGCUAACUACGUGCCAGCAGCCGCGGUAAACUAGACGUACU
Molecule: ribosomal RNA, 509 nt
Filed under: uncultured bacterium
Lineage: Bacteria
Description: bacterial SSU rRNA
Rfam family: Bacterial small subunit ribosomal RNA
Source: RNAcentral